Homarus americanus (American lobster) is the source of this 496-nucleotide long non-coding RNA. RefSeq lists it as uncharacterized. The transcript is spliced from 3 exons. The record is from RefSeq and is a predicted model, not a curated record. NCBI's taxonomy places the organism in Eukaryota, Metazoa, Arthropoda, Malacostraca, Decapoda, Nephropidae.
CGUUGAUGUAUUACCCUCCGCCAUGAUGAAGUAAACAACAACAGCUGCUGUAAGAUGAGUAACACCUAAACCCUUGAGAAAUUAACAACUGGAUCAUGGAAACACUGCUGUUACAGGCCAGGGCAGCUGCACACACAGCAGAGCAGUCCAGGACAGCAGCAUGUACAGAGCAGAGCCGUCAAGGGGAGCGGCACGCACAGAGCAGAGCCGUCCAGGACAGCGGCAUGCACAGAGCAGAGCCGUCCAGGGGAGCGGCACACAGAGCAGAGCCGUCCAGGGGAGCGGCACACAGAGCAGAGCCGUCCAGGGGAGCGGCACACAGAGCAGAGCCGUCCAGGGGAGCGGCACACAGAGCAGAGCAGUCCAGGGCAGCAGCCAGCAAGCACAGGGCAGCAGCAAGCAAGUACAGGGUAGUGGCCAGUAAGCACAGUCUCGGGCAGCAUGGCACUCCAGUGUUCAGAACAACAUUUCUGUACAAAAUAAAAUGUAAAAUUAA